Long non-coding RNA from Raphanus sativus (radish), 1408 nucleotides. RefSeq lists it as uncharacterized. The record is from RefSeq and is a predicted model, not a curated record. The transcript has 5 exons. NCBI's taxonomy places the organism in Eukaryota, Viridiplantae, Streptophyta, Magnoliopsida, Brassicales, Brassicaceae.
UUAAAUGUUAAGCGUCAAUUUUUUUUAAUGACUAUUUCUCUUCGUCUUCACCAAUCGAUUCCUCUGCACUGCGGUUACUGUAAUCUCCUCUUCGUGAAUCUGUAAUGCUCUAAAUCCUCCUUUAAUUGUUUCGUUCCAUCUCCCCCUCUUUCUUCUUCUAUAUAAAGCCCUAAUCUGAUGUUUAAUCCACACCCUUUUCAAAACCGUAUAAAUCUUCCAAAAUUCAAGCGAUGAGCGAGAACAACUUCAACGAGAAUAAUAGGAGUAUUCUGUCCUAAUUACAACUCUGAUAAUGGCGAAUUGCAUACCAAAACUGGAAAAGGCCAUUGUUAUCUGCUUUUUUAGCUUCCAGAUGCGAGAGGAAGUUCUAAGAAGAUGAUCGGAGGAAGAAAGUCGAAGGCUUUAGUCUCUCAGCGCAAACCGUUUUCAGAGGCAAGGAAAUACUUUCUCAACAAAAGCUGGGACCUUAUUACUUUCUCAACAAAAGAUGGGUCCUUUUUUUUGUAAAUCAUGAUAAGGAGGGUUUCCAUUUUCUCUGAUUUUGAGAGAUAUGAGUAUCGCAGUCCAUUCAGAUUGCUUGGCCAGCCAACAAAUGGAAAGCUUGAAUUGAUGGAUGGUCAAUGAUGCAAACUUGAUGUGCAUGUCAAUAAAAUUUCUAGCAUCCUCGGGCCACACAGAAACUCCCUAAAAAAAGUUGAGCGCAACACACUGUAAGGUUUUUAUUAGAGGGCGAGGAUCUGUGAAAGACAUUGUCAAGCUGAAAUCAAAGAUAGAAAAAUCAACAACAGAGUUUUUAAAAUAUAAUCUUUAUGGAAACCAUCUGAGUGCGACAAUGUUUUGAGAUAUUGGCUAAUGUUUUGAGCAUCAGCAUUAGAAACAUAGGGAAAUUGCAAAAGUGAUCAUGAUGCAGAAGAUUCAUCAAGAGUAGUUUACUCAGAAAAAUCCCCUGAAGCAGAGAAAAUGGUGUACUGAUCUUAGUUGGAAAACUUAAGGGACACACAAUACCGAUACAUUGUGGCAAGACCUACAAACGUCUUUCAUUAUCCGAAAAGAAAAACGUAACGAAGAACUGUUUGAUGCAGCGACUGCUUAAGUAAAUGAAAGGCAAAAUAUUUCUCUUCCCUAAUUUGAUAGAGACACACUGUUUUGUAAAAUGAAUGAAUCGUUUCAUGUUUGGCUGGUAUUGUAGUCGCUAAAGUUCUUUGCUAACAAGAGGGAAAGAGCCGGAAGAUUUGGAAGUGAGUUUAAUAGAAUUUUUCAAGACCCUGCUUCUGAGUUAUGUGGUUGCAACUUGCAAGUAGGAGUAAAUGAUUAACACGUAAAAGUUUAUUUCCUUUGACGACAUGAUUAUUUGGAAUUAUUUUAGGGGGGUUUGUGGUAAUAGUUUAUAAAAAAAGUUAUUAAUUCA